This 497-nucleotide ribosomal RNA is filed under the name uncultured bacterium. RNAcentral's name for it is "partial 16S ribosomal RNA". It matches the Rfam family "Bacterial small subunit ribosomal RNA", at positions 28 to 507 of the family's 1533-position model. The record is from RNAcentral.
GAUGAACGCUGGCGGCGUGCCUAAUACAUGCCAGUCGAGCGAACGGACGAGAAGCUUGCUUCUCUGAUGUUAGCGGCGGAUGGGUGAGUAACACGUGGAUAACCUACCUAUAAGACUGGGAUAACUUCGGGAAACCGUAGCUAAUACCGGAUAAUAUUUUGAACCGCAUGGUUCAAAAGUGAAAGACGGUCUUGCUGUCACUUAUAGAUGGAUCCGCGCUGCAUUAGCUAGUUGGUAAGGUAACGGCUUACCAAGGCAACGAUGCAUAGCCGACCUGAGAGGGUGAUCGGCCACACUGGAACUGAGACACGGUCCAGACUCCUACGGGAGGCAGCAGUAGGGAAUCUUCCGCAAUGGACGAAAGCCUGACGGAGCAACGCCGCGUGAGUGAUGAAGGUCUUCGGAUCGUAAAACUCUGUUAUUAGGGAAGAACAUAUGUGUAAGUAACUGUGCACAUCUUGACGGUACCUAAUCAGAAAGCCACGGCUAACUACGUG